This 742-nucleotide long non-coding RNA is filed under the name Rattus norvegicus (Norway rat). RNAcentral's name for it is "long non-coding RNA NONRATT025339". Lineage: Eukaryota; Metazoa; Chordata; Mammalia; Rodentia; Muridae. The record is from RNAcentral.
GCGGCCGCGGGGCUUCCCCGCCUCCCGAGAUCGGUGCGCCCCGCGCUCGCUCGGCCGCUGCUUGUCCUGCUCCCCGCCUGGCUAGCCUUGCCUCAGCUGCCUGCCCUGGCCGCGCCUCCUCCCGCCCUCCGGGACGGCGUUACGCUGCCCCCUUCCUCCUGCGCCUCCGCCUCCUUCCACACAAAUACCAACUCCUCAACCCGAGCCCAGAUCUCGCCGCCGCCGCCGCCGCCACACUCUGCUCUGGCUCGGCCUCGCGAGACUUCCGCAGGGGUCUCGGCCCGCCCCGCCUCGAUCCCACUCGCUGUUCUGGCUCUCGCUCCUCCCUCCCUACCAAUCGCACUACUUCUCUAGUCGCCGAGGCCCCGCCUACUAAACCAGGCUCCUCCGGAUUGGGGGCCGCUGGGUUAGGGGGCGUGGUGACCCUCACGCGCGCUGGCUGGCCCCUGGCGCGUGACGUCAGCUCCGCGCCGCCGUCGCCUUACGGCGCUCCGCGUCGCGCGAACCCCGCCAUCCACGGUGCAACAGUGACAAAACCGCCGCUUGGGGCCUCAGUCGCUGGCAGGAGUGGGGCGUCGGCGCUGCGCCUUCCGCCUCUGGAGUCGGCGAACUUUCCGCGCGACCCCGGCGCACGGUAACUGGAGCUGGGGUGAAGGGGGGCGCGCGCCUGGGGCUGGUGUGCUGCCGGCGGAGCGUGCGAACAGCGGCCGUGUCGCCGCAAUAAAGUCUGCUCUGACGAGAA